GACGUAGGGCGCGAGCGUUGUCCGGAUUUAUUGGGCGUAAAGAGCUCGUAGGCGGCUUGUUGCGUAAGCUGUGAAAACCCGCAGCUCAACUGUGGGCUUGCAGCUGAUACGGGCAGGCUUGAGUUCGGUAGGGGAGACUGGAAUUCCUGGUGUAGCGGUGAAAUGCGCAGAUAUCAGGAGGAACACCGGUGGCGAAGGCGGGUUGCUGGGCCGACACUGACGCUGAGGCGCGAAAGCUAGGGGAGCGAACGGG
This 253-nucleotide ribosomal RNA is filed under the name uncultured bacterium. Its description in RNAcentral is "partial 16S ribosomal RNA". It matches the Rfam family "Bacterial small subunit ribosomal RNA", at positions 524 to 776 of the family's 1533-position model. The record is from RNAcentral.